This 1558-nucleotide ribosomal RNA is filed under the name Paratriaenops furcula (Trouessart's trident bat). RNAcentral describes it as "16S ribosomal RNA". It matches the Rfam family "Bacterial large subunit ribosomal RNA", at positions 253 to 2853 of the family's 2925-position model. The record is from RNAcentral. Lineage: Eukaryota; Metazoa; Chordata; Mammalia; Chiroptera; Rhinonycteridae.
GCUAACACUAGCCCAACCACCACUAAACUCAACAACCAUGUACCUAUAAAACAAAACAUUCAUUUCCAAAAAGUAUAGGAGAUAGAAAUUACACUAGGCGCUAUAGAGAAAGUACCGUAAGGGAAAGAUGAAAGACAGUACAUAAGCAUAAAAUAGCAAAGAUUAACCCUUGUACCUUUUGCAUAAUGAUUUAACCAGAAUAAUCUGACGAAGAGAACUUCAGCCAGACCCCCCGAAACCAGACGAGCUAUCUACGAACAACUUCACAGAGUAAACCCAUCUAUGUGGCAAAAUAGUGGGAAGAUUCGCAGCUAGAGGUGAAAUGCCUAACGAGCCUGGUGAUAGCUGGUUGUCCAAGAAAGAAUUUUAGUUCAAAUUUAAAUGUUACCUAAAAACUAGACAAUUAAAUUGUAACUUUAAAUUAUAGUCUAAAAAGGUACAGCCUUUUAGACACAGGAUACAACCUUAAUUAGAGAGCAAGGAUAACUCAACACCAUAGUCGGCCUAAAAGCAGCCAUCAAUUAAGAAAGCGUUAAAGCUCAACAACACCCAGCCUUUAAUACCAAACUCAAUUACCUAACUCCUAAUACACUACUGGACUAUUCUAUUACUAAAUAGAAGAGAUAAUGUUAAUAUGAGUAACAAGAAAUAUUUCUCCUAGCACGAGCCUAUAUCAGAACGGAUACUCCACUGAUAGUUAACAGCAAAACAUAGAACCCAAAAACAAGACCACAAUAACAACCAACUGUUGACCCAACACAGGAGUGCGCUCAAGGAAAGAUUAAAAGAAGUAGAAGGAACUCGGCAAACACAGACCCCGCCUGUUUACCAAAAACAUCACCUCUAGCAUCACAAGUAUUAGAGGCACUGCCUGCCCAGUGACACCAGUUUAACGGCCGCGGUAUUCUGACCGUGCAAAGGUAGCAUAAUCACUUGUUCUCUAAAUAAGGACUAGUAUGAAUGGCCACACGAGGGUCCUACUGUCUCCUACUUCCAAUCAGUGAAAUUGACUUUCCCGUGAAGAGGCGGGAAUGCCAAAAUAAGACGAGAAGACCCUAUGGAGCUUCAAUUCACCGACCCACUGAAAAAUCAAUCUUCACCUACAUGGCAUAAACAACCUCAGAUGGCGUCGGCAAUUUAGGUUGGGGUGACCUCGGAGUACAGACAAACCUCCGAGUGACUAAACUAAGACUAACCAGUCAAAGUGUCACAUUACUUAUUGAUCCAUAAUUUGAUCAACGGAACAAGUUACCCUAGGGAUAACAGCGCAAUCCUAUUUAAGAGUCCAUAUCGACAAUAGGGUUUACGACCUCGAUGUUGGAUCAGGAUAUCCUAAUGGUGCAGCAGCUAUUAAUGGUUCGUUUGUUCAACGAUUAAAAUCCUACGUGAUCUGAGUUCAGACCGGAGCAAUCCAGGUCGGUUUCUAUCUAUUCCUAGACUUCUUCCAGUACGAAAGGACAAAAGAAGUGAGGCCAACUUUACAAAAGCGCCUUAAGACUAAUAGAUGAUGUAAUCUCAAUCUAACAACUCCUAGCAACCACACCCUAGAACAGGGUUA